UAACCAUAUAAACUAUAACUCAUAAUCAUUUUUGUACAAUUUUUAAUGAUUUUUCAAAGUCAGAACAGGGGAACCCGAAUUCAUUCUGACAUUGUCUCACAAAAUCUAUUAUAUCUCAUGAUUUACAAUUCCAUUGCUCACAUCAUUUCUUUUAUAAGAAACUAGACUCAAUAAGCUUUAGUUUCAUAUUUUAUUCAUCCUCUAAUUCAAUCUCUACAAUUUUUGGUGAUUUUUCAAAAUUACACUACUGCUGCUGUCCAAAACUGCUUUAGUGCAAAAUGUUGAUUUCCAUUUUGCCCCAAAUUUCACAGUUUAUACAAUUCGGUCCUUUCUCAAUUAACCCCUCAAUUAAUCUAAUUUUCUCAAUUAGUACUUUACUAGACAUUAUAAGUUGUUACACAACUAUUGAAAUUCAGAAUUUCCACAUAUAACUCUAUCUUCAAACUCUUUUACUAUUAGGUCCCAAACAUUCACUUUCUAUUCAAUUCUUUCAAUAAAAUCAGCAUAUGAACAAUUUAAAGCUCUAAUUUCAUGCUAAAUCAUCAUAUACUUCCAGCACAUAUUCAUAUCAACUUUCAACUUCUUUCAUAAAAUCAAAAACUAAUGGAUUUAACAAGUGGGCCUAGUUGUAAAAGUCAUAAAAAUACAAAAAUUUCAAGAAAUAGUCAAGAAUUGAACUUACUUGUAAUAAAAAUAUGAAGAACCAGCUUGAAGAAGCCCUUCCAUGGUGUUUUAGCUGAUGAGAAUUCAGAAAAAUGAAGAGAAAUCUAGAUAAUUCCACUUGGGUCCUAACUUUAUUAAGCAAAUUUUGCAAUUUUCCAAUUUUGCCCUUAAUUCUCCUUACUUUCUUGCUGAUUUCAUGCCUCUGCCGUCCAGCCCAAAUAGACCUUGGGUCUAUU
RNAcentral lists this long non-coding RNA (899 nucleotides) under Gossypium barbadense (sea-island cotton). RNAcentral's name for it is "long non-coding RNA (GBAR_LNC013852)". Lineage: Eukaryota; Viridiplantae; Streptophyta; Magnoliopsida; Malvales; Malvaceae. The record is from RNAcentral.